Molecule: ribosomal RNA, 385 nt
Filed under: uncultured bacterium
Lineage: Bacteria
Description: bacterial SSU rRNA
Rfam family: Bacterial small subunit ribosomal RNA
Source: RNAcentral
GUAGGUGGCGAGCGUUAUCCGGAAUGAUUGGGCGUAAAGGGUGCGUAGGUGGCAGAUCAAGUCUGGAGUAAAAGGUAUGGGCUCAACCCGUACUGGCUCUGGAAACUGAUCAGCUAGAGAACAGAAGAGGACGGCGGAACUCCAUGUGUAGCGGUAAAAUGCGUAGAUAUAUGGAAGAACACCGGUGGCGAAGGCGGCCGUCUGGUCUGAUUCUGACACUGAAGCACGAAAGCGUGGGGAGCAAAUAGGAUUAGAUACCCUAGUAGUCCACGCCGUAAACGAUGAGAACUAGGUGUUGGGGGAAUAACUCAGUGCCGCAGUUAACGCAGUAAGUUCUCCGCCUGGGGAGUAUGCACGCAAGUGUGAAACUCAAAGGAAUUGACGG